UCUUGGGCCAGGAAGCCUGAGGCAGACAAAAAGGAGGCAGAUUCAGCAUCCAGCUGCACAGGGAUCCCUACAGAUGUCCUGGCCACAGACCUUGAGUCUCUCUUUGGCCUGGAUGUUCUGCGACUGCAACUUCAUGAGAAGAUCCAGGAGGCCUGGGGCCAGGGCAGUGCCAAGGAGCUGUCCCCUGCUGCCCUGGAGUAAAGGCGGUGGAGAAAGAGGGAACGGGACUGGCAAAAGAAGAAGCGAGAGGAGCUGUGGGCAAAAUAGAAGACCAAGAAGGCUGAGGAGGUUACAAAGGCCCUGUAGGCAGUCAAGCCAACCCCUGAAGGGGCCUGCAGGAAGCUGCAGGAGCCUCCAGGACUGAUCUUCAACAAGGUGUAGGUGAGCAAAGAGGAGUCAGCCAGCAAGUAGCAGUGCAGAAAGAAGAAGCAGAGUGUGAAGGGAAAGGAAACUUACACCACUGACAGGGAGGAACUACCUGCAGCUGCUGAAGCAUCUGGAUGAGCUGAGUGGCCAGGGUGAGGGGAAGGCACAGCAGCUGUAGGCCAAGAUGAAGUGGACCAAUCUCCUGUACAAGACAGAGGAUGUGAUGAUCCACCACGAUGAUUGCCUGCUGCAGGAGGCCCUGAAGCCCAAGGAGAAUCACAGCGCCCAGCAGCACAGCGAGUGGGAGAAGCGCAACUCAGGCGUGGUAGAGAAGAUGCAUCAGUGCCAAGACCUGCUGGCAGCAGAACCUGCACAAGAAGAAGGUGGCCCACAUCCAGCACCGAAUGCUCAGAGCCCACAAGAACUGUAUCCUGCUGCAGGACCUGGAGCUUGCAGGCCUA
Molecule: long non-coding RNA, 827 nt
Filed under: Homo sapiens (human)
Lineage: Eukaryota; Metazoa; Chordata; Mammalia; Primates; Hominidae
Description: non-protein coding lnc-CDY2A-13:1
Source: RNAcentral